This 2119-nucleotide long non-coding RNA is filed under the name Homo sapiens (human). RNAcentral's name for it is "HSALNT0036411". The record is from RNAcentral. Lineage: Eukaryota; Metazoa; Chordata; Mammalia; Primates; Hominidae.
GGGAUCCAUCCUGUGCUGGCUGCUGUUUCCAAGACAGUCUCAGGAACAGCAGGAUUGACUACUGUUUGGGUGCCAGCAAGAGCAAGGAGGGCUCAGCAUUUGGGGAUUCGUAGCAAAAGAGGGGUGCAGCAAAGCGGCUCUAGGGCACGAUUGGUGAGGAAGCAGUGCUCACUCAAGGGAGAUCAUCCUGGCAUUUUCCAGCUAUAGGUUGACCCCGGGAGAAAUGGCAUUUUCGGCGGAUGCUGCAGCUGGCUUUAUCAGAGUGUGUCCUCCCAGCGGGAUUAACAGCUAGGCUGCUUUCUUCUCUUUUCAGUCCAGGCUGAUUUUGACUGUCACAGAGAAAAGUGUUCAAGAAGAUGUUGAAGAAAUAUUCACCCUGACUGCAAAUCCCCACACUGAGAAGUAUUCCUUCUAUUUACUUUGUACCUCCUAUAAUAACAAGGACAGCCUUCUUCACAUGGUUGUCAUGCAAAUGCCUAUAGAAUAAAUGAAUGCAUGCAAGAACGAAUGAGUUAUAUGUUUUAAAUAACGUUUUGGUUUUUUUAAAAAUGUGCUAAAUGUUUUAGGUAUGUUAACUCCUUAUGCCAACCUUAUGAACAUGUCAUAGGACAAUCUAUUGUUAUCCUCAUUUUACAGAUAAGGAAACGGAGGCUUUGAGGCAUUAAGGCGCUUGCACAAGGUUGCAGCAAGUGUGGAAUCGGGACCAGAAGACAGACAAGACAGGUUGGUCUGACUCCAGAACCUGCAGGCUGCGAUGAUACAGCUCAAGAGUGACACUGCUCCCUCAGAAGCCUGUGCCACCUCUUGUAUUUCGGAAUACGCUCAGCUUACAAACUACAGUUCCAAUGGCCAAUACGAUAAAAGGAAGUUAUUGGGUGAAACCUCAGGAAAUGCUAUUGAAGGGGAAGCUUAUGCUUCUGACAGUCAGCCUCUGAGCUUUCCCUCUUCUUUCUUUUCCCUGCCUGGGACUCAGGAGUGAGAGGGGAGCUGAAGCAGAUGUCGUGACCAUGAUGUAGGCUUGUGGAGAAAUGCCAUGUUUUAGGACUGGUGAAGCAGAAGACAGAGUUGGGGUCUCUCAUGACAUCGUGGGGCCUCCCUAGCAGCCCUGGACCACCUGCUUCUGAGAAAUUUCAGAUUACAUAAGAGAAAGACACCCCUACCUAGCUGAAGCCCCUGUGACUCGGCAUAUGUUGGUAGCAGCCACAUGCAGUUCCUCACCGGCUCACACAUAUUAGUGGGCGGCUUUAAGGAGAGACCUUGUCACACUCUGGCCCUCGCUGUCUUUAUAAAAUGUGGCCAUGACUUUGAUAACCCCAUGGGCCCUCCCAGCUCUCACAUGACAGCCCCCCAUUUCCCCCUCCUGAGUCUGGGGGUGACUCAGUGCAGAGUUUCCUUGGUCUCAUCUGUCUCUCUCUCUCCUUUCUCUGCGAUGCAGCAGCCUGGUUGGGGCCUAGAAGGCUUCAGGCCAGCCAUCCAGAUCACCUGUUGCUGCCCCUCCAAUGUGGCCCGAAGGGGUCGCUCUCAGCGCACCUUCAGAGCUGGAGGGUCCUUGUGGCCAGCAGGCUAGGUGGACAUUGUCCCUGCAAGCUCAGCCCCGCCCUUCCCAUUCCAAGCCGCCUCUGUUGCCUCUCCUCCUCAGUGGAAUGAAAGCAAAACUUCAGCAAAAGACAGCAAUUGGAGAAUUGCUUAAAUGAAGAAGAAAUAGCAGUCACAGCCCAAUGUCCAUCAAGUGGCUACAUUUGGAAUUGGCCACAUGGGGUCACUGCACCCUCAGGAAUGGAGGGACUUCGGCAGGGUGCCUCUGUCUCUGAAGCAUGGACUGGAGAAAGCUGCUGCCUGUGGAAGGGAUGGGAGAUGCUCCUUUUCUGCAAAGUUGAGCUGCCUGGGACAUGCUAAGUCCCUCCCCACGGCCAGGCGGGAAGGCGCUUAGUGUAAGGCCUUGAACCAGAGAACAGUCUUCCAAAAUAUUACUCUUACCGUGAUUUUCAUUGUUAUUACAGGAUUUUGGAAUUCCUACGUACUCUUUUUGUUGUUGUUCACAGCUGAUGAAAUCUGUAGAUCCUCUCUGUAAAAAGGUGUGAAUAUCAAAUGCAAUAAAUCCAGGUCCUGGAUGGUGAGU